UGGGGAAUUUUAGACAAUGGGCGAAAGCCUGAUCCAGCAAUGCCGCGUGUGUGAAGAAGGCCUUCGGGUUGUAAAGCACUUUUGUCCGGAAAGAAAUCCUUGGCUCUAAUACAGUCGGGGGAUGACGGUACCGGAAGAAUAAGCACCGGCUAACUACGUGCCAGCAGCCGCGGUAAUACGUAGGGUGCAAGCGUUAAUCGGAAUUACUGGGCGUAAAGCGUGCGCAGGCGGUUUGCUAAGACCGAUGUGAAAUCCCCGGGCUCAACCUGGGAACUGCAUUGGUGACUGGCAGGCUAGAGUAUGGCAGAGGGGGGUAGAAUUCCACGUGUAGCAGUGAAAUGCGUAGAGAUGUGGAGGAAUACCGAUGGCGAAGGCAGCCCCCUGGGCCAAUACUGACGCUCAUGCACGAAAGCGUGGGGAGCAAAACAGGAUUAGAUACCCUGGUAGUCCACGCCCUAAACGAUGUCAACUAGUUGUUGGGGAUUCAUUUCCUUAGUAACGUAGCUAACGCGUGAAGUUGACCGCCUGGGGAGUACGGUCGCAAGAUUAAAACUCAAA
RNAcentral lists this ribosomal RNA (558 nucleotides) under uncultured bacterium. RNAcentral's name for it is "partial 16S ribosomal RNA". It matches the Rfam family "Bacterial small subunit ribosomal RNA", at positions 355 to 905 of the family's 1533-position model. The record is from RNAcentral.